AAUCAAGUGCCUUAAGGGUGUUCGGUGGAUGCCUUGGCGCUGAGAGGCGAUGAAGGACGUGCUACGCUGCGAUAAGCCGUGGGGAGCUGCGAAGAAGCUUUGAUCCGCGGAUUUCCGAAUGGGGAAACCCACCUUCGAUAGCCGGAACUCCAAGACCUUGUGGUUUUGGGGUUUGACCAGAAAUGAUCGGAACCAUGACCUCUUGAGGUUUUGGAUUUCCGGUUAUCAAGAGAAGGUAUGAGACCUCCGAAUAAAAUAGGAGGUUUUAAGCAAACCCAGGGAACUGAAACAUCUAAGUACCUGGAGGAAAGGACAUCAAUCGAGACUCCGUUAGUAGUGGCGAGCGAACGCGGACCAGGCCAGUGAUACAUCAAAGACAAUCGGAACCUGUCAGGAAAGCAGGGCCU
RNAcentral lists this ribosomal RNA (407 nucleotides) under Bradyrhizobium sp. USDA 3259. RNAcentral's name for it is "bacterial LSU rRNA". It matches the Rfam family "Bacterial large subunit ribosomal RNA", at positions 1 to 357 of the family's 2925-position model. The record is from RNAcentral. RNAcentral also lists the same sequence under 1 other name. Lineage: Bacteria; Pseudomonadati; Pseudomonadota; Alphaproteobacteria; Hyphomicrobiales; Nitrobacteraceae.